Molecule: RNA transcript, 3197 nt
Organism: Hylaeus anthracinus
Lineage: Eukaryota; Metazoa; Arthropoda; Insecta; Hymenoptera; Colletidae
Gene name: RNA-binding protein 25
Exons: 13
Source: RefSeq, a predicted model, not a curated record
AAGAGAUCGGCGCGUGAAGCCGUAAUGGACGAAAAGAAGUGGGUGCCAGUUCGAAGGAUUGUGAAAGUGGAAGUUUAAGCUCGUGUAUUUAGUGAAACAUCUCUUCAGCUCUCUAGCCUCAACAAAAUGACAUAAACAUUUUUGAAACGAUGAUCAAUGCGUUGUAUCUACUUUCAAAUAUAUUAUAGAGAGCAUUGCCAUAGUACUAAUUAAAGUAAGAAAUGUCUUAUCCUGGCCAACCUCCAAUGGGAAUACCAGGCAUGCCACCUAUGCCUUACAUGGUUGGCGCACCUCCUCCAAUUAUAGGUGGUGUAAUGCCUAUGGCACAUAUGAUUCCAACACCCGUAUCUGCGAUGCAGACCUCAGCUCCAGCUGUUCGGUAUGCACGUAACCAGAAUCGUCAUGAUAAUAAUCGACGUCGUGAGAGAGAAUCCGGCCCACCAGUUACAGUGUUCAUUGGUAACAUUAUGGACAGAGCACCUGAUGUGAUGAUUCGACAUAUUCUGGGUGCAUGUGGCCAUGUUCUUUCGUGGAAGAGAGUCCAAGCAUUUGGAUUUUGUGAAUAUGCAGGUCCUGAUGCAGGUCUUAGAGCAGUUAGAUUACUUCAUGAUAUGGAAAUAGGCACAAAGAAACUUGUUGUAAAAGUUGAUGCAAAAGCCAAAGUUGUACUUGAUCAGUUUAAAGCGGAAAGAAGAAAAAAGUUGAGAGGAGGUCAGUCACCUUUACAAGAUGAAACAUGUACUGAUGGGACAGAUGGAGAAGAAGGUGAAGAUUACAUGGAUGAGAGCAUGAGAGUAGUGGAUGCGGAUGCGCUAGCUCGCAUUAAUCAAAUCAUAGCUGAACAUGCUGCUGAUCUGGAAAUGGCUCAAGUUGCUCCUGAGGAACAUCAAACAAAAAUGGUUGCAAAAUCUUUGAACUUGGAUGAUGCAGAAAUAGAAGAAAGUAAAAGAGACUUGAUUACACGAGAAAUUGGAAAAUUCAGGGAGGUUAUGAAGAAGCAGGAGGAGGAGAAGGCCCAAGUAAAACGGAAGAAAGAAGCAGUCGAGAAAGAAGAGCGGGAAAAGCGUGAAAAAGAACGGCGUGACAGGCGAGAUGGCAGUAGUACUAAAGACGAUCAGGACGGUGAUCCUGGUAGCCCUACAUCUCACAAGGGUCGUAGUAGUAGUACUGGAAGUAGUAGAAGAGAUAAAAGACGGUCUAAAUCCAGGUCCAAAGAACGAGAUAGGGAUCGUCAGAGAAGCGAUAGAGAUCGCGAUAGAGACAGAGAUCGAGAUAGAGAUCGAGAACGAGAAAGAGACAGAGAUCGUGAAAGGGAACGCGAACGAGAACGCGAGAGAGAUAGAGAACGAGAAAGGGAGAGGGAAAGGGAACGAGAUAGAGAACGCGAAAGGGAACGCGAAAGGGAGGAAGCGAGAAAGACGGAAAGAGAGAUCAUGCGUGAAAGGGAGGAAGAGGAGGAGGCGAAAGAAAGGAAGAAGAACGAAAGAAGAGCACGUGAAAAAGAAGCGGCGUAUCAAGAGCGUUUGAGAGCGUGGGAGACACGGGAACGUCGUAAACAAAAGGAAUAUGAAAAAGAGGCGGAGAAACGUAGAGCGAAACGAGAAGCAAGAGAAAGGGAAGCGAAACGGUUGAAAGAAUUUCUUGAAGAUUACGACGAUGAUAGAGACGAUGCUAAAUAUUACAAAGGCAAAGAACUCUCGCGACGUCUGGAAGAGAGAGCACUUGAAGCAGAAGCCGAUUCGCGAGAUCGUUGCGCAGAGCGUCAAGAGCUUCAACGUCUCCGCGAUAAACUUUAUGCCGAUGCGUCUCAUCCAGAUCCAGCGGCGGAGUUUGAAAGGUUAAAAGCAGAAAGGGAGGAGCAGUAUAAGCCUAAACCAGUGAUUACUAUAAUUGACGAGGAAGACGAAAAGGUAGUGAAAAAGGAAAAGGAAGUUAUGCCACCCAUAGAAACUGAGCCUAUCGAAAGUGACAGUGACGAGUGUGUGCAAUUUGACGAAGCCUCCCAACCGGAAGCGCCAUCCAGAACACCUCCACGACAUCAUCAUCACCACAGAAGGCAUCACCGUCAUCAUCAGAAUCAUCAUCACGACGGCGAAGAGAACGAAGAAGUCGUAGAAACGGAUAGAGAGAGUUUAAAGGGUACGAGAUCGUCGCCAUCUCAUCAAGCAGUCACACCAUCGGCACAAUCCAUUCCACCCACGUUAGAUGAAGAUUCACGCAUGUCUCUUGUUAGUGAACCCGAAAAAACGAGCAGUAGUAACUUCGUGCCGUUCGCUAUGGGAAGCGGUGGUAAUCGCGGUGGCGAUCAUGGUGUUGGUAACAAAACCCCAGCUAGUCCCAGCACGGCUGUCACUGUUAAUUCGCAACAAACAAAUCAAACCAGAAAGAAAGGUCGAAUCGACGUCAAGGAUGUAUUUAAUAACGAUGACGACGACGAUAGUGCUAAUAACUCGAAAAAGCGUAAACUAGUUCCUUUAGAUUAUGGCGAAGAGAAAAAGAAAAAGUCUACCGAGGAUGUUCAAAAAUCAGGAAAAGAAGAAAGUACAAAAAGUCAAGAAGAAAAACGAAAACACAUAAAAUCCCUUAUUGACAAGAUUCCUACAGAUAAAAACGCUUUAUUCGGAUACCAACUGGAUUGGGCGGUAAUAGAUAACACAUUAAUGGAGAAAAGAAUUAAGCCAUGGAUUAAUAAAAAGAUUAUUGAAUAUAUUGGCGAACCUGAACCCACACUAGUAGAUUUUAUUUGUAGCAAAGUAAUGGCCGGUAGCUCUCCUCAGGGCAUACUUGACGAUGUACAGAUGGUAUUGGACGAAGAAGCAGAAGUGUUUGUAGUCAAAAUGUGGAGGUUAUUAAUUUACGAAGUGGAAGCAAAAAAAAUGGGCUUAGUUAAAUAAAUGGAUAUCAAUUAAAGUACUAAUCGACAUACAAAUUUAUACUACACAUCAAAUUCCCUUGGUUAAGAUGUAAUAAUUAGUGUAUCUAUUUCGUAUUAAUUUGAAAUGUAUAUUAAGUUUAGAGAUGUUCCUGUUGUAAUGGAACAUGUGAGCAAUAAUCGGUAAUGAAAUCUAGUAAUAUAGGCAAGCGACGAUGAGAUUAAUUAACAUGUUUUGAGAAAGAGGUAAGUAGCGAUGGAUAAGAUUAACACGAGCAAGAUGAACAAUUGUAUUACGAAUAAAACCAUUUUUUGUAUACGCUUA